UCCAUAUAAGUGAUACUGUGGUGACAAAAGCAGUAGCCACCACAGCCUUCUGCCACACCUUGCUUUUAGCCAAGCAGCAUAUCCAUUGUAAUUCAACAUUCCAGCUGCAUAUUGUUCUACUGUAUCUCAACCAAUAGCAGAUUCUUUGCCAGAGCCUCCUAGUAACUAGACAAGUGAAAUACAGAUGAUCAAAUUCUUCAGUUUCUAGAUGACAGAAC
Molecule: long non-coding RNA, 218 nt
Filed under: Nicotiana benthamiana
Lineage: Eukaryota; Viridiplantae; Streptophyta; Magnoliopsida; Solanales; Solanaceae
Description: long non-coding RNA (NBEN_LNC010112)
Source: RNAcentral